UUCUUCUUGACGAAGGUUUAUAAGCCUAUUUUGAGCACACAAGCCUGAAAAUUUAUGUAAUUGCAAUAGCCAAUCAAAAAAAAUUCUUCUCCAACAUUAUAUCAAUUAAUAUGCAUUUCCCAAAUUCUCUUGGCGAACCUUCCCUAAAAACAUUUACUUUCUAAAUAUUGUGCAGAAACGAUAUUUUGUUUUUAUUUACUGUUCUUCAGAAUUUUAUUAGCAAAGGAGCUAAGGUAUAACCGAGUGUAAAAUUUAAGCCAUUUUAAACAAAGCUACAUUUCUUCAUACUUCAAUCUACAAUGAAAAAUUACCAGAAAACAA
Molecule: non-coding RNA, 321 nt
Organism: Parasteatoda tepidariorum (common house spider)
Lineage: Eukaryota; Metazoa; Arthropoda; Arachnida; Araneae; Theridiidae
Source: RefSeq, a predicted model, not a curated record